GUUGCUUCAUAAUGGUGAAAUCUCUCAAAAUCGAAUGAGAGAAUCUCAAGUUUCCGGAGCAUAGAUUAAGCAUUCUAUCACCAGUAUUAAACAGCUCGGUGCGUAUACAAUCGCAUCGAUGUUACCUGUCUCCUGGUAUACCU
Non-coding RNA from Helianthus annuus (common sunflower), 143 nucleotides. The record is from Rfam. NCBI's taxonomy places the organism in Eukaryota, Viridiplantae, Streptophyta, Magnoliopsida, Asterales, Asteraceae.